This 216-nucleotide long non-coding RNA is filed under the name Taeniopygia guttata (zebra finch). Its description in RNAcentral is "lncRNA (ENSTGUG00000021557.1)". Lineage: Eukaryota; Metazoa; Chordata; Aves; Passeriformes; Estrildidae. The record is from RNAcentral.
AACACAAAGUGAGGAUUUGUAGCUGAUUUGGCAAAUAGAAUUAUGAAAAGUUCUGUCAGAGCUCUGGGACUUCUUUCUCUUAGCAAUUAGAGCUUUUGAACAAAGAAAACUUCUGCUUAGAUGCAAUGAUGAAUUUAAUACCCCUGCCCACACUCCUCAGCUGAAUCUGGGGACAUUGUGGUGAGUUUUAAUACCUGAAGCUUUGUCUGUGUGAUU